Molecule: long non-coding RNA, 1456 nt
Organism: Esox lucius (northern pike)
Lineage: Eukaryota; Metazoa; Chordata; Actinopteri; Esociformes; Esocidae
Source: Ensembl
UUGAAUGACCAUACUGUUUUAUUUGAAGAUGUGCAGGACAGAAGUGAAGGGACACAACUGCUUCUCAAAGUCAGGCUACUACAGAUUACACUGUGGCUGUGUGAAAGACACGAGGAUUCCCAGAAGAGGAAUAUGAGGCCAGUCAUGGCACUGUCAACUACAUUUGUGCAAAUCUACACUUGAGAUCCGGACUGUGUACUUAAGACUACCACUUAACAUGCAAGGUUAAUUCACUUGUAUAGGCCUAGUAGUCACAUUAGUUAUUUUUCCAGAGUUCAGAGGCAGUUAAACAGUACCUAGAAAGGACUAGGAACUGAACAGUAAAACCAUGCAAACAUUAGUCAAUAAAGUCAAAGACAAUAACCUUACUGCAAUGUAAACAGGUCCUGGGGUGCUUUUCAAAUGACAAUUUUUUUUUUUACUCUGUGGCUUUUAUAAAUCACUCUUUGGAGAGUUAGAAAAAAAAGAAUCAGGACAUCUUGUAUGGACAUAAUGUGUGCCUUCUGUGGUGUUGUACAAGAAUAAUGAAAAGUAAUGAAAAGAACAGUAAUUAACGCAAUCCAUAGUAAAUGGUGAUAUCGGAAAACAGUGAAGGGCCCAAAGAGAACUGGCUAAGAAGGAUAAAUGCUUGUUUUUUUAGGCUUCUUAUGCAUCUCAAAAUGCACUUUGGACAUAGGAAAAAAAUGGCACUUCAUUCUUCAGUUUCAAUUAUUUCUUUUUAACUCAACACUAUAUAGAUUAUUUGCACAUUGCAUACUAAAAUGAAAUGUGAAAUACUUUAAUAUUUUGGGCACAGAACGGUUAAAAAGGCCACUAUGUUUGAGAUAGACAGCGCAAGACUUGUAUAGUAACUGUCUAAAAUCAAAGAGGUCUUUUUCACAGUAAUAAUAAUGCAGAACGCCAUCUGUCAACACAUCAAAUCCAUAACAGAUUUCAAACCUGACAAACCACUUAUGAUUGGAGGGUUCCCCAACUAUGGUCCUGUGCAGCCUGGGUGUGCAGAGUUAUGUUCCAGCCCAGCCCUAACACAUGAUUCAGCUAGUCAUGGUCCUGAUGUAGUAUUCUCUCCCAAAAUUGCAAAACAUCCUGGCACAACAGUUGCAGAGUCAUUCCUCAAUUUAUUUGUUUGGCUAAAUGUUUAGCAUCCAAAAUGUAUUGUCAGCAUAACACCAUAACAGCAGUCGAUUGGUUGAAACAGACAGGUUUGGGCUGGCUUGGAACAAAACCCUAAGCUCAUCAGGACAGAAGUUGGGUAGCUGUAGUAGAAUGGCAAUUGAAAAAGCUAGCAUUGGUACUUCGUCAGCUACAAUAGAAACAAACUAGCACCCAUUCUAAGGGAUGAGGAAAUUAUCAAAAAAAUAAGAAAACUAAACGUUUCCAUAAUGUUCCCAUAAAAAAAAUAUGUUUCACAUCCUUACGGUCAGUCAUUGUUUAGCGCAAUGUCACAACUUAAAAA